Molecule: long non-coding RNA, 1067 nt
Organism: Python bivittatus (Burmese python)
Lineage: Eukaryota; Metazoa; Chordata; Lepidosauria; Squamata; Pythonidae
Source: RefSeq, a predicted model, not a curated record
GGUGAUUCUUCGACCUUUCUUUAGCGCGUGGCGAAGAGAGGCAAGACCCUUGUUGGUUUCUGUUUGAUGCUGCUAAAAAUGCUGUUUAAUUCAGAGAUGAACACUUUGGAACAUCAAGCCAGCCUUCUGCCUUGGCUGGAUUCUGCUGCUGAUGGAGCAACCCGUCCAUCUCCUGACACUUGAGGAAUAGUUGGCACUGCCACUCCUCUGACCGGUUUCAAAUUGUGAGCAAUGCUCGAUGCUGUGGAUAGAGUCUGGCUCAGAAGCAUAAGCACACUUGAAAGCCCAUCCUCCAGGAUGGGAGUGGCAGCUUAUUCCUGAAAUGCGUGUGAGAAAUAUUCUGAAAAGCCCAAGGUUAUUUGAAAGGAGGAAAAACCAUGACAGCAUCAGCUGUUCUCAGCAUUGGUGUAGAAGAGAACCUACUUGUACAAGCCUGGAGAAAUAAAAGUGUAGACCAAGCAGCAUGGGAUAGAAGGCUGGCAUUAAUGAAAGGGAAUCCAUGAUGAUAAGAAUAUGAGACUAAUGGUUUAAUUUGCCAUCUUUCUCCCCCCCUAAAACUGUUGUACAACGUAGACUCCAGCAGCGAUUGUGGUGGCGGCGACAGAACAAAUCUGCGUCUGGGAUGAAACAGUACAGAGCCACAGUGUGGGUUGUUUGGUUUUUCUUAGUGUGCCAUGCGAACGUAACCACUGUAGUUUGUCAGUAAUGAUGUAUGGCUUAACCAAGAACCCCUAAUUUGAAUUCAGACAAUUAAGCAAAGCCGUGGAAGAUUAUUUCAAUAUAUAAUUAUUGCGGUGAGAUGGCUAUACGCAGAGAGAUGGAAAGACACUACCCACUAUGGGGGAAUGGUUGGUGAAAUUGAUAGAUUUUGCUGAAAUGGAUAAAUUACUUCUUUGAUCAGAGAAAAGACCAUAUUUACGAUGAUUGCUGAGCUAAGUUGAGGAAUCCAGCUUGAGGGUGGGGGGAGUUCAUGCUGAGCAAAAGGUGUUGGGAGGAACUGUUAAACGAAGAGCAGUAAGAAUGUAAUCUUGAAUUCCUCUGCCUUUGUCAGUCCUUUUUAUAUAAUA